RNAcentral lists this ribosomal RNA (468 nucleotides) under uncultured bacterium. Its description in RNAcentral is "partial 16S ribosomal RNA". It matches the Rfam family "Bacterial small subunit ribosomal RNA", at positions 28 to 507 of the family's 1533-position model. The record is from RNAcentral.
GACGAACGCUGGCGGCGUGCUUAACACAUGCAAGUCGAACGGAAAGGCCCUGCUUUUGUGGGGUGCUCGAGUGGCGAACGGGUGAGUAACACGUGAGUAACCUGCCCUUGACUUUGGGAUAACUUCAGGAAACUGGGGCUAAUACCGGAUAGGAGCUCCUGCUGCAUGGUGGGGGUUGGAAAGUUUCGGCGCUUGGGGAUGGACUCGCGGCUCAUCAGCUUGUUGGUGGGGUAGUGGCUUACCAAGGCUUUGACGGGUAGCCGGCCUGAGAGGGUGACCGGCAACAUUAGGGUUGUGAUACAGCCCAGAUUCCUACAGGAGGCAACAAGGAGGAAAAUCGCGCGAUGGACGGAAGCCUGAUGCAGCAACACCGGGUGCGGGAUGACGGCCUUUGGGUUAGAAACCGCUUUCGCCAGUAACGAAGCGUGAGUGACGGUAAUGGGUAAAGAAGCACCGACUAACUACGUG